Long non-coding RNA from Etheostoma cragini (Arkansas darter), 95 nucleotides. RefSeq lists it as uncharacterized. NCBI's taxonomy places the organism in Eukaryota, Metazoa, Chordata, Actinopteri, Perciformes, Percidae. The transcript is spliced from 3 exons. The record is from RefSeq and is a predicted model, not a curated record.
UGUUUAAUUUGAAAAUUUACCUUCGGGGCGCCCUGGUAGCUCACCUGGUUGAGCGUGAGCCCCAUGUACUAAGGCUCAGUCCUAACCAUGGUGGC